CAGGCUUAACACAUGCAAGUCGAGGGGCAGCAUGGUCUUAGCUUGCUAAGGCCGAUGGCGACCGGCGCACGGGUGAGUAACACGUAUCCAACCUGCCGUCUACUCUUGGACAGCCUUCUGAAAGGAAGAUUAAUACAAGAUGGCAUCAUGAGUCCACAUGUUCACAUGAUUAAAGGUAUUCCGGUAGACGAUGGGGAUGCGUUCCAUUAGAUAGUAGGCGGGGUAACGGCCCACCUAGUCUUCGAUGGAUAGGGGUUCUGAGAGGAAGGUCCCCCACAUUGGAACUGAGACACGGUCCAAACUCCUACGGGAGGCAGCAGUGAGGAAUAUUGGUCAAUGGGCGAGAGCCUGAACCAGCCAAGUAGCGUGAAGGAUGACUGCCCUAUGGGUUGUAAACUUCUUUUAUAAAGGAAUAAAGUCGGGUAUGCAUACCCGUUUGCAUGUACUUUAUGAAUAAGGAUCGGCUAACUCCGUGCCAGCAGCCGCGGUAAUACGGAGGAUCCGAGCGUUAUCCGGAUUUAUUGGGUUUAAAGGGAGCGUAGAUGGAUGUUUAAGUCAGUUGUGAAAGUUUGCGGCUCAACCGUAAAAUUGCAGUUGAUACUGGAUAUCUUGAGUGCAGUUGAGGCAGGCGGAAUUCGUGGUGUAGCGGUGAAAUGCUUAGAUAUCACGAAGAACUCCGAUUGCGAAGGCAGCCUGCUAAGCUGCAACUGACAUUGAGGCUCGAAAGUGUGGGUAUCAAACAGGAUUAGAUACCCUGGUAGUCCACACGGUAAACGAUGAAUACUCGCUGUUUGCGAUAUACAGCAAGCGGCCAAGCGAAAGCGUUAAGUAUUCCACCUGGGGAGUACGCCGGCAACGGUGAAACUCAAAGGAAUUGACGGGGGCCAGCACAAGCGGAGGAACAUGUGGUUUAAUUCGAUGAUACGCGAGGAACCUUACCCGGGCUUAAAUUGCAGAUGAAUUACGGUGAAAGCCGUAAGCCGCAAGGCAUCUGUGAAGGUGCUGCAUGGUUGUCGUCAGCUCGUGCCGUGAGGUGUCGGCUUAAGUGCCAUAACGAGCGCAACCCUUGUUGUCAGUUACUAACAGGUCAUGCUGAGGACUCUGACAAGACUGCCAUCGUAAGAUGUGAGGAAGGUGGGGAUGACGUCAAAUCAGCACGGCCCUUACGUCCGGGGCUACACACGUGUUACAAUGGGGGGUACAGAGGGCCGCUACCACGCGAGUGGAUGCCAAUCCCAAAAACCUCUCUCAGUUCGGACUGGAGUCUGCAACCCGACUCCACGAAGCUGGAUUCGCUAGUAAUCGCGCAUCAGCCACGGCGCGGUGAAUACGUUCCCGGGCCUUGUACACACCGCCCGUCAAGCCAUGGGAGCCGGGGGUACCUGAAGUGCGUAACCGCGAGGAGCGCCCUAGGGUAAAACUGGUGACUGGGGC
RNAcentral lists this ribosomal RNA (1434 nucleotides) under uncultured organism. Its description in RNAcentral is "16S ribosomal RNA". It matches the Rfam family "Bacterial small subunit ribosomal RNA". The record is from RNAcentral.